AACUUUUAACAACGGAUCUCUUGGUUCUCGCAUCGAUGAAGAACGUAGCAAAGUGCGAUAACUAGUGUGAAUUGCAUAUUCAGUGAAUCAUCGAGUCUUUGAACGCAACUUGCGCUCAAUGGUAUUCCAUUGAGCACGCCUGUUUCAGUAUCA
Molecule: ribosomal RNA, 153 nt
Organism: Bradysia coprophila
Lineage: Eukaryota; Metazoa; Arthropoda; Insecta; Diptera; Sciaridae
Source: RefSeq, a predicted model, not a curated record